Molecule: unclassified non-coding RNA, 94 nt
Filed under: Kaistella chaponensis
Lineage: Bacteria; Pseudomonadati; Bacteroidota; Flavobacteriia; Flavobacteriales; Weeksellaceae
Description: Chryseobacterium chaponense Flavo-1 RNA
Source: RNAcentral
CUGCGGCCGUGAUAGUAGCGGUUACCCCACAACGAGGGAGCGCAACGCAGUGGAGCGACCGAGUGAGGAGUAUGAGCGGAUAGCACGAAUUGUC